RNAcentral lists this ribosomal RNA (425 nucleotides) under uncultured bacterium. Its description in RNAcentral is "partial 16S ribosomal RNA". It matches the Rfam family "Bacterial small subunit ribosomal RNA", at positions 354 to 796 of the family's 1533-position model. The record is from RNAcentral.
GUGGGGAAUCUUGCGCAAUGGGCGAAAGCCUGACGCAGCCAUGCCGCGUGAAUGAUGAAGGUCUUAGGAUUGUAAAAUUCUUUCACCGGGGACGAUAAUGACGGUACCCGGAGAAGAAGCCCCGACUAACUUCGUGCCAGCAGCCGCGGUAAUACGAAGGGGGCUAGCGUUGCUCGGAAUUACUGGGCGUAAAGGGCGCGUAGGCGGACAGUUUAGUCAGAGGUGAAAGCCCAGGGCUCAACCUUGGAAUUGCCUUUGAUACUGGCUGUCUUGAGUACGGGAGAGGUGAGUGGAACUCCGAGUGUAGAGGUGAAAUUCGUAGAUAUUCGGAAGAACACCAGUGGCGAAGGCGACUCACUGGCCCGUUACUGACGCUGAGGCGCGAAAGCGUGGGGAGCAAACAGGAUUAGAAACCCCUGUAGUCC